CCUGGUUGAUCCUGCCAGUAGUAUAUGCUUGUCUCAAAGAUUAAGCCAUGAAUGUCUCAGUGCAAGCCACAUUAAGUGAAACCGCGAAUGGCUCAUUACAUCAGUUAUGGUUCCUUAGAUCGUACCCACAUUACUUGGAUAACUGUGGUAUUCUAGAGCUAAUACAUGCAAAUUAGAGUUCCACAACCAGAGAUGGAAGGAAUGUUUUUAUUAGAUCAAAACCAAUCGGUGGCGGGCUUGCCUUGCUCACCGUUUGACUUGGUGACUCUGAAUAACUUUGUGCUGAUCGCACGGUCUAGUACCGGCGACGCAUCUUUCAAAUGUCUGCCUUAUCAACUGUCGAUGGUAGUUUCUGCGACUACCAUGGUUGUUACGGGUAACGGGGAAUCAGGGUUCGAUUCCGGAGAGGGAGCCUGAGAACGGCUACCACAUCCAAGGAAGGCAGCAGGCGCGCAAAUUACCCACUCCCGGCACGGGGAGGUAGUGACGAAAAAUAACGAUACGUGGACUCAUCCGAGGCCCGUAAUCGGAAUGAGUACACUUUAAAUCCUUUAACGAGGAUCUAUUAGAGGGCCAGUCUGGUGCCAGCAGCCGCGGUAAUUCCAGCUCUAAUAGCGUAUAUUAAAGUUGUUGCGUUAAAAGCUCGUAGUUAAUCUGUGUCCCACCUGUCGGUCACCGCUCGCGGUGUUUAACAGGCAUGUCUGUGGGACGUCACCGGUGGGCUUAGCCCGUAAAAGGCGGCCCAACUCAAAAUCUUACCAAGGUGCUCUUCACCGAGUGUCGAGGUGGGCCGGUACGUUUACUUUGAACAAAUUAGAGUGCUUAAAGCAGGCUCAUUCGCCUGAAUAUUGUGUGCAUGGAAUAAUGGAAUAGGACCACUCGGUCUAUUUUGUUGGUUUUCGGAAUUCCGAGGUAAUGAUUAAUAGGGACAACUGGGGCAUUCGUAUUGCGACGUUAGAGGUGAAAUUCUUGGAUCGUCGCAAGACGGACAGAAGCGAAAGCAUUUGCCAAAUGUGUUUUCAUCAAUCAAGAACGAAAGUUAGAGGUUCGAAGGCGAUCAGAUACCGCCCUAGUUCUAACCAUAAAACGAUGCCAGCUAGCGAUCCGCCGAAGUUCCUCCGAUGACUCGGCGGGCAGCUUCCGGGAAACCAAAGCUUUUGGGUUCCGGGGGAGUAUGGUUGCAAAGCUGA
Molecule: ribosomal RNA, 1190 nt
Filed under: Ctenocephalides felis (cat flea)
Lineage: Eukaryota; Metazoa; Arthropoda; Insecta; Siphonaptera; Pulicidae
Description: SSU rRNA
Rfam family: Eukaryotic small subunit ribosomal RNA
Source: RNAcentral